AGGGUUCGAUCCUGGCUCAGGACGAACGCUGGCGGCGCGCCUAACACAUGCAAGUCGAACGAGAGAGAGGAAGCUUGCUUCCUCAAUCGAGUGGCGAACGGGUGAGUAACGCGUGAGGAACCUGCCUCAAAGAGGGGGACAACAGUUGGAAACGACUGCUAAUACCGCAUAAGCCCACAGGUCGGCAUCGACCAGAGGGAAAAGGAGUAAUCCGCUUUGAGAUGGCCUCGCGUCCGAUUAGCUAGUUGGUGAGGUAAUGGCCCACCAAGGCGACGAUCGGUAGCCGGACUGAGAGGUUGAACGGCCACAUUGGGACUGAGACACGGCCCAG
Molecule: ribosomal RNA, 331 nt
Filed under: uncultured bacterium
Lineage: Bacteria
Description: bacterial SSU rRNA
Rfam family: Bacterial small subunit ribosomal RNA
Source: RNAcentral